Molecule: long non-coding RNA, 319 nt
Filed under: Sinocyclocheilus anshuiensis
Lineage: Eukaryota; Metazoa; Chordata; Actinopteri; Cypriniformes; Cyprinidae
Description: lncRNA (ENSSANG00000015201.1)
Source: RNAcentral
UUUAUGGAGAAGACCAAAAGCUGCAAAGGCAAACACUUCCAAUAGAUUUCUCACAGAUUACUUAGUCCUUCUCCAUCAGCUCUCCACAAUAUCAGCCCGUCCAAAAGCUUCCACAUCUCUCUCUCUCGUGUGGCACAUCUGCUCUCAGUCCUUUACUGCCAACUUCCAGUCUUAGCAUGUCUACUUGUAUUAAUUUCUCCUCUACAGUCAUCACUCCCAUCUCUACUUGGCACAAACUGGAGAGAGAAUGCUGUUCUGGGCACUAUGUUUAUCUGGGUUUUACAUAUCAAUUAACAUUGGAAAAUGACUACAAAAUGUG